UAAUACGGAGGGUGCAAGCGUUAAUCGGAAUUACUGGGCGUAAAGCGUGCGUAGGUGGUUUGUUAAGUCAGAUGUGAAAGCCCCGGGCUCAACCUGGGAACUGCAUUUGAAACUGGCAAACUAGAGUAUAGGAGAGGAAAGUGGAAUUUCUGGUGUAGCGGUGAAAUGCGUAGAUAUCAGAAGGAACAUCAAUGGCGAAGGCAGCUUUCUGGACUAAUACUGACACUGAGGUACGAAAGCGUGGGUAGCAAACAGGAUUAGAUACCCUGGUAGUCCACGCCGUAAACGAUGACAACUAGCCGUUGGGGGGAUUUACCCUUUAGUGGCGAAGCUAACGCGUUAAGUUGUCCGCCUGGGGAGUACGGCCGCAAGGUUA
This 376-nucleotide ribosomal RNA is filed under the name uncultured Gammaproteobacteria bacterium. RNAcentral's name for it is "bacterial SSU rRNA". It matches the Rfam family "Bacterial small subunit ribosomal RNA", at positions 521 to 896 of the family's 1533-position model. Lineage: Bacteria; Pseudomonadati; Pseudomonadota; Gammaproteobacteria. The record is from RNAcentral.